CUACCGAGGUGAUCGUUUUGAAAUAUAUUCAAUUCAACAAUUAUCGGCUGUUCACGUUCGUUACAAAUACAAUAGACUAGCAGUAGUAGUAGUAGUAGUACCUAUAGUAUUUUUUUGAUGAAGAAACCACCUCUUCAACAUCGAAAUCAUCAGAAAUUUACUACUAUUUCUUUUCGGUUUAUAUUUAAAAUUUUCGUGUUUACCAUUACAGUUUAACCGUUACUUACAUACAAAAACAAACUACAAGUAUUUAUUUGUUUUUGUUUUAGUGCGUGCCUAGUGUAAACGUGUAUUUUGUUGUUUACAUUUUACAAGUUUAUUAUGUUUUGUUGUUUUCGAGUGAUAAAUAAAGUCAACCAUGUAAUAACAAUAGCAACAACAACAACUACAACAACGAUGCAAUGCAUAUCAUUAUGUUGAGAAAAAAAAGUAAACAAUAAUAUUUUAAACAACCACAACAACAACAUUUAGAAGAGUAGCAGUGUAAUAAUCAUAACAAAGAUAUUCAUUUAUGUUUUUGUCUAAUUCGUGCGUGUGUGUGUGUAUUUGACUAUAUUUAACACAACAACCAACAACACUACCUUCCACUAAGUGCUACGAACAACAACAUUACUACCACAAACAACAAUCGUACUCUAAUAACUGCUUUAACUCUGUGUUCAUUAUAAUCUCUGGCGAGUACACUACAAUACAAUAACAAACUUCAUAAAAUAUAUUAAUAAAAAAAAAAAUUCGUUAAAAUUAAAUAUUUUAAAUAAAACUCCGUCGGUGGCGCGCGUUCUAUUAAAAUAAAAAGAAGCCGUAGUUAAAAUUUGAAUUACAGUGUUAAUUACUUACUACAUGCCUACUACCAACACACAAAACACAACAAAAACAACAACAAUAAAAACACCUUCAUUUAAUUUGAAUAAAAUUCAAUUUAAUGUAAAUAAAAUUUUAAGAGAAAUGUCUAUAAAAUAUUUGCUAAAAUCAAAAAUUUCAUAAAUAAAUACAAAAGCAACAACAACAACAACAAGAAAACAAAACAAACAGGAAUUCCUACGAAAGAAGUCAGUCAGUCAUUGCAAAGUGAUCUGAUCCUAUUCUAAAAUAAUACACAGUGAGAAAUACAAAAAAAAAUAACAAGAAAAGGAAUGAAGUGCUCUUUUUUUUAAAGAAAAAAUAAGUGUAAAAAAUUUAUUUAAA
Molecule: long non-coding RNA, 1185 nt
Organism: Lucilia sericata (common green bottle fly)
Lineage: Eukaryota; Metazoa; Arthropoda; Insecta; Diptera; Calliphoridae
Exons: 2
Source: RefSeq, a predicted model, not a curated record